This 1451-nucleotide long non-coding RNA is filed under the name Capsella grandiflora. RNAcentral describes it as "long non-coding RNA (CGRA_LNC000862)". The record is from RNAcentral. Lineage: Eukaryota; Viridiplantae; Streptophyta; Magnoliopsida; Brassicales; Brassicaceae.
UGUUAACAAUGAAGAAGAAAACAAAAACCAAUUUCACAUUGUAUUUUGCAAAAUACCAAUAAUUAUGUAGAAACUCAAAUAUGAAACUCAGAGUCAGAGUUCUGUAAUAUACAGUUCCAGUAGUAUAUGUCUUGUUUCUAUGUUUUUUUGCUUUACAGAACUCAGUUACUAAUCACGAUAAAUCUUCACUGGUUAUUUCCUUCUUUCUAAUAUUGUUUAAGCUGAAAAUCAUCUUUCCUUUUUUUUGCAGGUCGUGAAGUCUUUUAGUUAAAUUUAAUCAUUGCUUUCCUAUAUAGUGAGCACAAACAUGAUGAUUUAAGGUUAGAAACUAAACCCUUCGUUUGGAAAAGUUGAUAUUCAUUCUAUUGUAGGCUGUUUAGUUUAAAGUCAUACUAAACUGACCAAGAAAUAUGCUCAACGGUAAUUUUUUUAAACAUAUCCGUGCACCUUGCUUUUAUUGUAUUUUGCUACCUUGAUUCCUGUAGAUAGGAAACGAAGAAUGAAAAUGUGAAAGUAAAAAAACUUCAUCAUUAAAUAAUAUACAAUAAGCAUUAUGUGAUAGUAGAAUAGGAUGUGUAGCAUCGUUACAGAUGGUCUUACUCGUAGAAUGUAGACUUAGUCCCAAAUUCUGAACACCUCUUUGAAAACAACAUUAGUUGUUUGCUUCUUAACUUUUCCUUCUUUGCUGACAAUCAAUAUUUUCAAGCAAAUGAAGCACCAUGAUGAUUAGUUUUUUUUGCGUUUUGCAAAUAGUGUAUUCGAUUGAAGUGGAUAUGGAUGCUUUUAGGUUGCUAAUGAACAAUCCUAUUUAUAGUGUUAGGAAGUAAAGGUCGCGAUACUCUGGUUGCAAUGACGGUUGCUUGGAGAUAAAGUUUAAACGAUUUAAUAAGAUUUUUGCCAUUAACUUUUGAGAAUAUUCUAGCGAGUAAUUUGGGAGUGUAGUCAUAAAUCUUUAAUAUAGUUACUAUAUUGCGGAAAUAUGAAUACUCAAUCUUAGGAAUGUCGACGAUAGUAAUUAAGGAGGAUGAUAUAUACAGCUAUGUGAAAUCAAAAAAACAUAACAUUAGGAAACUUUCUUGCACGAAUCGUAUAUAAUCUAAGAUUGCAAUAUUAUAAGGUUCAUAUAAUCGUCAAUAUUGUUAAGAUUUGAAAAUUAUUUUCUAAGUUUGGUUAGUAGUUAUUGCUUUGCUAAUUUAUAGGAACAAUAAAAUAUCAUAGAUAAUCUUUGUUAACAUUUAACGUUUACCAUUACUCAAUGUUUUCGAUUAUGCCUAAAUAUCCAUGAAUGAAAUCGGGUUUGAAAUUGAUAAAAUUAGCCGACCCGUCUCGUUAAGUUACAUCAUUAACCUUAAUGAGUUUCAAUAAUUAGUUUGAUAUUAGGGGUAAUCGAUGUCAUUAAGGUUUUAAACAAAAGUGGCCAAAAAAUUGUACUUCAAAAAUGUUAUAAUAGA